RNAcentral lists this ribosomal RNA (484 nucleotides) under uncultured bacterium. RNAcentral's name for it is "partial 16S ribosomal RNA". It matches the Rfam family "Bacterial small subunit ribosomal RNA", at positions 30 to 507 of the family's 1533-position model. The record is from RNAcentral.
AUUGAACGCUGGCGGCAGGCCUAACACAUGCAAGUCGAGCGGAUGAAGGGAGCUUGCUCCUGGAUUCAGCGGCGGACGGGUGAGUAAUGCCUAGGAAUCUGCCUGGCAGUGGGGGAUAACGUCAGGAAACGGGCGCUAAUACCGCAUACGUCCUGAGGGAGAAAGUGGGGGAUCUUCGGACCUCACGCUAUCAGAUGAGCCUAGGUCGGAUUAGCUAGUUGGUGGGGUAAAGGCCUACCAAGGCGACGAUCCGUAACUGGUCUGAGAGGAUGAUCAGUCACACUGGAACUGAGACACGGUCCAGACUCCUACGGGAGGCAGCAGUGGGGAAUCUUGGACAAUGGGCGAAAGCCUGAUCCAGCCAUGCCGCGUGUGUGAAGAAGGUCUUCGGAUUGUAAAGCACUUUAAGUUGGGAGGAAGGGCAGUAAGUGAAUACCUUGCUGUUUUGACGUUACCAACAGAAUAAGCACCGGCUAACUUCGUG